Long non-coding RNA from Bubalus bubalis (water buffalo), 1174 nucleotides. RefSeq lists it as uncharacterized. The record is from RefSeq and is a predicted model, not a curated record. NCBI's taxonomy places the organism in Eukaryota, Metazoa, Chordata, Mammalia, Artiodactyla, Bovidae. The transcript has 2 exons.
AUCCACUUUGUUUAUCCAUUCAUCUGUUGAUGGACAUCUGGGUUGUUUGCUGUUCUUGGUUAUCAUGAAUAAUGCUGCUAUGAACAUUCUUUUCUAAGGUGUUUGUGUGGACAUAUACUUUCAAGGUAUAUUCCUUGGCGUUCAGUUACUGGGUCAUAAGGUAGUUUUAGGUUUAACAUCCUGGGGAAAUGCCAAACUGUUUCCCAGAGCAAUUGUUCUAUUUAACAUGCCCAUUAGCAGCACAGGAGAGUUUCAGCUUCUUCAACUUUCCAACCUCAGGGUUUCAAAGGGGGAAAGGAAAGAGCUGCCUGGGCACAACCUGAGAAAAAAUACAUCUUGUGCCUUUAAAAUGCAAAGAGGACUCAUGACUUGUGCCCCCUACCCCUUCACGUUUCCAGUGCCACAUGGCCACCCAUCCUGACGUACCAGCCCCAAAACUGACUGAUGGACAGGGCACCUCUCCUAGACAAGAGGUCACUGGCUACCUUGUGCUCUAAUCACCUGAUGAAGAGGAAACCUCUCAGUAUCUGGCUUUCAGGAGCUGAAAAUGCAAAAAGAAAGGAUAAAGUUAAGAAAUCUGUGAUCUGAACCCUGCACCCUUAUCCUGUGUUGAAACCAUGGCCACUGCUCUCCUGAUGUUAGGAUCGUGGUGACACUGACCUUGACUUCUCCAUACAGCCCUAUAUACCCUGGUCCAAAGCUGCCUCCAUGCUGGGCCAGCAUGUCAGCCUUCACUUAGAUCUUCACAUCACCUACUCUCCUGGGAACAGGGUCAAACUCUUCAUUAUUUUCUGUGUCACUAUUUAAGUAUCCUAUGAGCUUUAUUUAAAGGAAUUAGGGUAGGACUUCCAUGGUGGUACACUGGAUAAGAAUCUGCCUGCCAAUGCAGCGGACAUGGAUUCAAUCCCUGAUCCAGGAAGAUUCCACACGCUGCAGAGUAACUGAACCCGGGAUCUAAAACUAGUGAGCCCACGAGCUGCAACCAUGAAAGCCCAUGUACCCUAAAGCCUGUGCUCCACAACAAGAGAAGCCACCGCAACGAGAAGCCAGCAAACCACAGCGAAGAGUAGCCCUGGCACGUCACUGCUAGAGAAAGCCCUUGCACAGAAACAACGACCCAGUGCAGACAAAAUAAAUGAAUAAAUUGUUUUUAAAAAUAAAAUAAAGGGAAGCA